Long non-coding RNA from Sebastes umbrosus (honeycomb rockfish), 91 nucleotides. RefSeq lists it as uncharacterized. The transcript is spliced from 3 exons. The record is from RefSeq and is a predicted model, not a curated record. Lineage: Eukaryota; Metazoa; Chordata; Actinopteri; Perciformes; Sebastidae.
AAUAAACAACACGGAAAUGAAACUAUUCAUACCGGCAGCGAUGCAAAUUGGCGACAGUUGCAACACUUGUUCAAUAAAAUGACACUCAGAG